RNAcentral lists this long non-coding RNA (115 nucleotides) under Parus major (Great Tit). Its description in RNAcentral is "lncRNA (ENSPMJG00000002384.1)". Lineage: Eukaryota; Metazoa; Chordata; Aves; Passeriformes; Paridae. The record is from RNAcentral.
UAUGAGAGAGAGCAGGUCCAUUACCAUGAAAGAGAAAAUAUCCUGUCUUACAACAUAAUAUCCUCACUGAAGAAGACCAAAAUGAUUCCUAAAGGAUGAAAUAACUGAAACUUUC